RNAcentral lists this ribosomal RNA (471 nucleotides) under uncultured bacterium. RNAcentral describes it as "bacterial SSU rRNA". It matches the Rfam family "Bacterial small subunit ribosomal RNA", at positions 355 to 825 of the family's 1533-position model. The record is from RNAcentral.
UGGGGAAUAUUGGACAAUGGGGGCAACCCUGAUCCAGCGAUGCCGCGUGUGUGAAGAAGGCCUGCGGGUUGUAAAGCACUUUAGUUGGGGAGGAGAGCCAUGGCGUGAAUAAUGCUGUGGUGAGACGUUACCCAAAGAAUAAGCACCGGCUAACUCUGUGCCAGCAGCCGCGGUAAUACAGAGGGUGCGAGCGUUAAUCGGAAUUACUGGGCGUAAAGGGCGCGUAGGCGGUUGAUUAAGUCAGUUGUGAAAUCCCAGGGCUUAACCUUGGAACUGCAAUUGAUACUGGCCAACUGGAGUCGAAGAGAGGGGGCGGAAUUUCCGGUGUAGCGGUGAAAUGCGUAGAUAUCGGAAGGAACACCUGUGGCGAAGGCGGCCCUCUGGCUUCAGACUGACGCUGUAGCGCGAAAGCGUGGGGAUCAAACAGGAUUAGAUACCCUUGUAGUCCCUGAGCGGGCUGGCAAGGCGCAU